AGUUCACGUCCUGCUGCCUGCGGCUCAAGACGUGGGACUCUCAGCUCCGUCUCCAGCUCUGUGUCUGCCUGCAGGCCUCCAUGCUUCUGACCAUGAUGAUAUGGACUAAACCUCUGAACCAUCAGAGAGGGCACUGGAUCCCCUGGAACUGGAAUUAUAGGUGGCCGUGAGCUUUCAUGUGGGUCCUGGGAAUCAAACCCAGUUCCCUUCAAAGAGAAGCCAGUGCUCUUAGCCACCGAGCCGCCUCUACCUGGAUGCACAAUAUUUUAACAAAUUAAAACACGACUCGAGCAAAUAUCAGACAGGUUCUUGCUAUGUGGCCAAGACCGGCCUCCAUCUGCCUCCAAAGUGCUGGAACUACAGGUAUGAAUCACCACGCUAGCUCACAUGGAUUCUUGAAAGAGACCAAAGCACACACAGCUCACCUGCCAUCUUAGGACAAGGCUCCCGUGCUCUCUCAUUAGGAUGCUUGCCUGUGCGGGAAGCUCCCACCAAGGUGAUCUAAGCAUUUGAACUAUGUGCUCAGAUGCAAGCUUGGCUAACUUGCCACUGCCCUUCAUGACUCCAGAAGCACACAGAAGGGGACAGCUGUCACUAUCAGUGGCCCAGUGUGAGAUCUCCUCCCCAUGCUGUGGAACCAUCCGCUGUGUGAGUCAUAGGGAAAGAUGGGCUCUUGACUGUGCUUGCCAGAGCAGCUGAUAGCACUAGUGACCUGGUCCCCAGUGUCUUGACUCCAGUGCCAGAGGUGAUGAGGACUCGGGGGAGCUAGCCCCAGAGUCCAGGGCAUUGAGUUCUCCCUGUGGCAGGAUUCCGCAUGGCCCCGGUUCAUCACGUUUCUUGACUCCUCUCAUCCCUCUCUGGUUCUCCAGGCAAUUCCUUGAACUCUCAGCUAUGUGGAAGUCUAGCCCACUCUGCUUCUGGCAAAGCAGAAAAAGGUAGGUUUCUGCUGCUGACCUCAAGGGGGCAGUCAAGUGCACAUACCCUGACAGCUCAUCCAACGUCCUGCCAGUUUAUGCUGACACCGAGAUGACAAGUGAGAAUUCAUACCAGCCUCUGAUGCAGAGGAAGGGAGUUUGGGGUGAUGGCCCCAUAACUAACAAUUCUCUAAUCUCUUAGUCUACAUUGGGGGAGUCUCCAGCCUUCUUUGUUGGCUAGACUCCCUAAAACUAUGGAGGUGAUUGGGGCUGGAGAGAGAGCUUAGCGAUGAAGAGCAAGUACUGCCCCUGCAGAAGACCCAAGUUUGGAUCCUAGCAUCUACGCUGUACAGCUCAAAACUGCCUGUAAAUCCAGCCCCGGGGGAUCCAGUGCCUCUGUUUUCCAUGUGGAUGUGGAAUACACACAUACACACUUAACUAAAAAUAAAAUAAAUCUUCAAAAACUA
Molecule: long non-coding RNA, 1381 nt
Organism: Mus musculus (house mouse)
Lineage: Eukaryota; Metazoa; Chordata; Mammalia; Rodentia; Muridae
Product: predicted gene, 51695
Exons: 3
Source: RefSeq, marked validated